RNAcentral lists this transfer RNA (66 nucleotides) under Rhodomonas sp. CCMP768. The record is from RNAcentral. Lineage: Eukaryota; Cryptophyceae; Pyrenomonadales; Pyrenomonadaceae.
UUUUUAAAAAAAAUUUUUUUUUUAAAAAAAUGGAAAAUUCUUUUAAUUCAAAGGAAUUUGAUUGAA